GGAUAACCUACCCUCAGGAGGGGGAUAACCCCGGGAAACUGGGGAUAAUACCCCAUAGAUCAGGGACGCUGGAAUGCCCCCUGAUUCAAAGGUCCGCCGCCUGAGGAUGGGUCUGCGGCCGAUUAGGUUGUUGUUGGGGUAACGGCCCAACAAGCCAUUGAUCGGUACGGGUUGUGAGAGCAAGAGCCCGGAGAUGGAUUCUGAGACACGAAUCCAGGCCCUACGGGGCGCAGCAGGCGCGAAAACUUUACAAUGCGAGAAAUCGUGAUAAGGGAACCCCGAGUGCCCGUAAAUUCGGGCUGUCCAUCAGUGUAAAUAACUGGUGAAGAAAGGGCCGGGCAAGACCGGUGCCAGCCCGCCGCGGUAAUACCGGCGGCUCGAGUGGUGGCCACUAUUACUGGGCUUAAAGCGUCCGUAGCUGGAUUGUUAAGUCUCUUGGGAAAUCCACCGGCUCAACCGAUGGGCGUUCAGGAGAAACUUGCCAAUCUAGGACCGGGAAGAGGUGAGAGGUACUCCAGGGUAGGAGUGAAAUCCUGUAAUCCUUGGGGGACCACCUGUGGCGAAGGCGUCUCACUAGAACGGGCUCCGACAGUGAGGGACGAAAGCUGGGGGAGCAAACCGGAUUAGAUACCCGGGUAGUCCCAGCUGUAAACGAUGCGCGUUAGGUGUAUCGGUGACCACGAGUCAUCGAGGUGCCGAAGGGAAACCGUGAAACGUGCCGCCUGGGAAGUACGGUCGCAAGGCUGAAACUUAA
This 754-nucleotide ribosomal RNA is filed under the name uncultured archaeon. RNAcentral's name for it is "bacterial SSU rRNA". It matches the Rfam family "Archaeal small subunit ribosomal RNA", at positions 102 to 859 of the family's 1478-position model. The record is from RNAcentral.